AGUGAACGCUGGCGGUAGGCCUAACACAUGCAAGUCGAACGGCAGCACAGUAAGAGCUUGCUCUUACGGGUGGCGAGUGGCGGACGGGUGAGGAAUACAUCGGAAUCUACUUUUUCGUGGGGGAUAACGUAGGGAAACUUACGCUAAUACCGCAUACGACCUACGGGUGAAAGCAGGGGAUCUUCGGACCUUGCGCGAUUGAAUGAGCCGAUGUCGGAUUAGCUAGUUGGCGGGGUAAAGGCCCACCAAGGCGACGAUCCGUAGCUGGUCUGAGAGGAUGAUCAGCCACACUGGAACUGAGACACGGUCCAGACUCCUACGGGAGGCAGCAGUGGGGAAUAUUGGACAAAGGGCGCAAGCCUUAUCCAGCCAUACCGCGUGGGUGAAGAAGGCCUUCGGGUUGUAAAGCCCUUUUGUUGGGAAAGAAAAGCAGCAGGUUAAUACCCCGCUGUUCUGACGGUACCCAAAGAAUAAGCACCGGCUAACUUCGUG
RNAcentral lists this ribosomal RNA (492 nucleotides) under uncultured bacterium. RNAcentral describes it as "partial 16S ribosomal RNA". It matches the Rfam family "Bacterial small subunit ribosomal RNA", at positions 29 to 507 of the family's 1533-position model. The record is from RNAcentral.